ACCCCUGUGACAUACCACUUGUUGCCUCGGCGGAUCAGCCCGCUCCCGGUAAAACGGGACGGCCCGCCAGAGGACCCCUAAACUCUGUUUCUAUAUGUAACUUCUGAGUAAAACCAUAAAUAAAUCAAAACUUUCAACAACGGAUCUCUUGGUUCUGGCAUCGAUGAAGAACGCAGCAAAAUGCGAUAAGUAAUGUGAAUUGCAGAAUUCAGUGAAUCAUCGAAUCUUUGAACGCACAUUGCGCCCGCCAGUAUUCUGGCGGGCAUGCCUGUUCGAGCGUCAUUUCAACCCUCAAGCACAGCUUGGUGUUGGGACUCGCGUUAAUUCGCGUUCCUCAAAUUGAUUGGCGGUCACGUCGAGCUUCCAUAGCGUAGUAGUAAAACCCUCGUUACUGGUAAUCGUCGCGGCCACGCCGUUAAACCCCAACUUCUGAAUGUUGACCUCGGAUCAGGUAGGAAUACCCGCUGAACUUAAGCAUAUCAA
Molecule: ribosomal RNA, 483 nt
Filed under: Fusarium oxysporum f. sp. lentis
Lineage: Eukaryota; Fungi; Ascomycota; Sordariomycetes; Hypocreales; Nectriaceae
Description: eukaryotic LSU rRNA
Rfam family: 5.8S ribosomal RNA (bases 129-282)
Source: RNAcentral